This 1139-nucleotide long non-coding RNA is filed under the name Pan troglodytes (chimpanzee). RNAcentral's name for it is "long non-coding RNA NONPTRT003159". The record is from RNAcentral. Lineage: Eukaryota; Metazoa; Chordata; Mammalia; Primates; Hominidae.
AGCUAGAGGGCUAAAGGUCCCCAGGGACUGGAGAAUUCAGUGAUCAGCCAGGCUGCAGAUCAAGGUUGAACUUGGAAGAAAACCACACCUGGUUCCUGGCUUGGAGUUGGAGGCACCUUCUGCUCAGGACUUCCAGCCUUCUGAAAUCUUCCCUCCUUCCCUGGAGAGCUUCCAACUCACCCAGCUAGGCCCUCCCAAGUUGUGGAUGCAUUCCCAGAAUUGGGCCAUCAUGUCCCCACUCCCUCCUUCUCUGAAAAAGCCACCCUAGAAAGCGGAAGAUUCAGAUCGGGAAAAGGCAUGGACCAAUAGCAUGUUUCUGGAGUGAAUAAGGGAAAAAAUGAAUAAAGAAAUGCAGAAAAGAUUGAGUCAAUGAAGGAGAGAGUGAGUGAGCAAAUGACUGAAAGCAGCCAGCGUUGCCGGGACCCUGCCGCAUCUCAUACUGGGUGCUGCACAGGCAGCGUUCCUCCUCUUGUGGCCCUUGGGAAAUAGACAUGAAUCACACACAAACAAAAACGAUGGCAAAUUGUAAUGAGGGCUAUGAAAGGGAGUGAAGGGCAAGAUCACUGAAGGGUUGGACUCAGAAGAAUCCUUUCUGAGGACAUGACCUGUCAGCUAAGACGGAAGGAGGACUUCAGUUGAGAGAACAAGUCAAUUAAUACUCCGUGGCCUCUUCCACUCACUCUCAUGAAUUUGCCAAGUCGCCUGGGGAGAAUGGGGCCUGAACUCUGGACCCUGAGGUCCUUUCUCAUGCACUGAAAGCAGCCCCCCAGCCCUGGCCCCUCCCUGCGACUUGGUGACUUGACUGCCCUAUUCUAGCAUCAUGGAAAAACCAUGGAAGGCCACGUAUAGGGCGGUGGGAGGGAUGCCCAAGGGAGUCACGCAUUUUGGGAGGAGGGGGCUAGCUAGGCUGCAGGAUGAGGGAGUCCAAUUCCAAAGGCCCAUGCUUUUUUAUUUUAUUUUAUUUUUUUGGUGGAGGAUGAGCCAAUAAUGUCUCCCUCCUCACUUUCCACACUGCUCAUGUCAGCUUGUACUACCCUACCCUUUGACCCCAGAUAACCCACUGUAUCCAACCUUCUGUAUGUUUUCUCCUUAAUUGAGUAAUCACUGACAGACACAUUUAAAUUGUAUGCAAGCACACA